AGAAGCAGCCAUCAUUUAAAGAAAGCGUAAUAGCUCACUGGUCGAGUCGGCCUGCGCGGAAGAUGUAACGGGGCUAAACCAUGCACCGAAGCUGCGGCAGCGAACGUAUCACUUAAAGCGAUUCAGCGGGUUACGAUUGACGGAGCGAAGCGACGUCAAAGCGUAUACAAAGUCGAGUCGGUUUAAGGAUACGUUCGUUGGGUAGGGGAGCGUUCUGUAAGCCUGUGAAGGUGGCCUGUGAGGGUUGCUGGAGGUAUCAGAAGUGCGAAUGCUGACAUAAGUAACGAUAAAGCGGGUGAAAAGCCCGCUCGCCGGAAGACCAAGGGUUC
RNAcentral lists this ribosomal RNA (329 nucleotides) under Salmonella enterica. RNAcentral's name for it is "partial 23S ribosomal RNA". It matches the Rfam family "Bacterial large subunit ribosomal RNA", at positions 1108 to 1354 of the family's 2925-position model. The record is from RNAcentral. RNAcentral also lists the same sequence under 1 other name. Lineage: Bacteria; Pseudomonadati; Pseudomonadota; Gammaproteobacteria; Enterobacterales; Enterobacteriaceae.